This 253-nucleotide long non-coding RNA is filed under the name Lathyrus oleraceus (garden pea). RNAcentral's name for it is "Pisum sativum (pea) long non-coding RNA (PSAT_LNC018779)". Lineage: Eukaryota; Viridiplantae; Streptophyta; Magnoliopsida; Fabales; Fabaceae. The record is from RNAcentral.
UUGACUCGAAUCAAAUAGUUAUUUUCUCUCAUUUUUUUGCCUUAUCUCCAACACAUAUAUAAAUAAUUUUUCCAAAUCCAUCUCAUUACCACUCUAUGAUUUAGAACUUACAACUAAGGUUGUUCAUGGUAUGAUUUACUGAGAAGAUCGAAUCGAUUUGAACUAAACCAUAGUAAAAGUUCACACGAAUUGAAUCGAACCGUUUCAGUUUAUUAAAAACCAAACCUUAACAAGCACAAUAGCAAAAAUGAUA